GAUGAACGCUGGCGGCGUGCCUAAUACAUGCAAGUCGAGCGAACGGACGAGAAGCUUGCUUCUCUGAUGUUAGCGGCGGACGGGUGAGUAACACGUGGAUAACCUACCUAUAAGACUGGGAUAACUUCGGGAAACCGGAGCUAAUACCGGAUGAUAUUUUGAACCGCAUGGUUCAAAAGUGAAAGACGGUCUUGCUGUCACUUAUAGAUGGAUCCGCGCUGCAUUAGCUAGUUGGUAAGGUAACGGCUUACCAAGGCAACGAUGCAUAGCCGACCUGAGAGGGUGGACGGCCACAUGGGAUGUGAGACACGGUCCAGACACCGGCGGUAGGAAGCGGUAGAGAAUCCUACGCAAUGGGGGAGUGGGGGACGGAGCGACACCGGGGGAGGGAUGAAGGUGUUCGGACCGGAAAACGCUGUUAUUAGGGAAGUUCAAAUGUGUAAGUAACGGGGAAGAUCUUGACGGUACCCAGUCAGAAAGCCACGGCUAACUACGUG
This 497-nucleotide ribosomal RNA is filed under the name uncultured bacterium. RNAcentral's name for it is "partial 16S ribosomal RNA". It matches the Rfam family "Bacterial small subunit ribosomal RNA", at positions 28 to 507 of the family's 1533-position model. The record is from RNAcentral.